Molecule: ribosomal RNA, 1030 nt
Filed under: Salmonella enterica
Lineage: Bacteria; Pseudomonadati; Pseudomonadota; Gammaproteobacteria; Enterobacterales; Enterobacteriaceae
Description: bacterial SSU rRNA
Rfam family: Bacterial small subunit ribosomal RNA
Source: RNAcentral
CGGGUGAGUAAUGUCUGGGAAACUGCCUGAUGGAGGGGGAUAACUACUGGAAACGGUGGCUAAUACCGCAUAACGUCGCAAGACCAAAGAGGGGGACCUUCGGGCCUCUUGCCAUCAGAUGUGCCCAGAUGGGAUUAGCUUGUUGGUGAGGUAACGGCUCACCAAGGCGACGAUCCCUAGCUGGUCUGAGAGGAUGACCAGCCACACUGGAACUGAGACACGGUCCAGACUCCUACGGGAGGCAGCAGUGGGGAAUAUUGCACAAUGGGCGCAAGCCUGAUGCAGCCAUGCCGCGUGUAUGAAGAAGGCCUUCGGGUUGUAAAGUACUUUCAGCGGGGAGGAAGGUGUUGUGGUUAAUAACCGCAGCAAUUGACGUUACCCGCAGAAGAAGCACCGGCUAACUCCGUGCCAGCAGCCGCGGUAAUACGGAGGGUGCAAGCGUUAAUCGGAAUUACUGGGCGUAAAGCGCACGCAGGCGGUCUGUCAAGUCGGAUGUGAAAUCCCCGGGCUCAACCUGGGAACUGCAUUCGAAACUGGCAGGCUUGAGUCUUGUAGAGGGGGGUAGAAUUCCAGGUGUAGCGGUGAAAUGCGUAGAGAUCUGGAGGAAUACCGGUGGCGAAGGCGGCCCCCUGGACAAAGACUGACGCUCAGGUGCGAAAGCGUGGGGAGCAAACAGGAUUAGAUACCCUGGUAGUCCACGCCGUAAACGAUGUCUACUUGGAGGUUGUGCCCUUGAGGCGUGGCUUCCGGAGCUAACGCGUUAAGUAGACCGCCUGGGGAGUACGGCCGCAAGGUUAAAACUCAAAUGAAUUGACGGGGGCCCGCACAAGCGGUGGAGCAUGUGGUUUAAUUCGAUGCAACGCGAAGAACCUUACCUGGUCUUGACAUCCACAGAAGAAUCCAGAGAUGGAUUUGUGCCUUCGGGAACUGUGAGACAGGUGCUGCAUGGCUGUCGUCAGCUCGUGUUGUGAAAUGUUGGGUUAAGUCCCGCAACGAGCGCAACCCUUAUCCUUUGUUGCCAGCGAUUAGG